UACGAAGGGGGCGAGCGUUGUUCGGAUUUACUGGGCGUAAAGGGCGCGUAGGCGGCGGGUCAAGUCGAGUGUGAAAGCCCCGGGCUCAACCUGGGAGGUGCGCUCGAGACUGGUCUGCUAGAGUUCGGGAGAGGAGCGUGGAAUUCCCAGUGUAGAGGUGAAAUUCGUAGAUAUUGGGAAGAACACCGGUGGCGAAGGCGGCAUCCUGGACCGGCAUUGACGCUGAGGCGCGAAAGCCAGGGGAGCAAACGGG
This 253-nucleotide ribosomal RNA is filed under the name uncultured bacterium. RNAcentral describes it as "partial 16S ribosomal RNA". It matches the Rfam family "Bacterial small subunit ribosomal RNA", at positions 524 to 776 of the family's 1533-position model. The record is from RNAcentral.